RNAcentral lists this microRNA precursor (67 nucleotides) under Bombyx mori (domestic silkworm). RNAcentral describes it as "mir-2774 microRNA precursor family". It matches the Rfam family "mir-2774 microRNA precursor family". Lineage: Eukaryota; Metazoa; Arthropoda; Insecta; Lepidoptera; Bombycidae. The record is from Rfam by way of RNAcentral.
AUAACAUUUGGACCGUUGGUCUACCGAGCAAUUUCACCGGCUCGAUAAUAGAUCUUCCCUAUGUCGU